GAUGAACGCUGGCGGCGUGCCUAAUACAUGCAAGUCGAGCGAACGGACGAGAAGCUUGCUUUUCUGAUGUUAGCGGCGGACGGGUGAGUAACACGUGGAUAACCUACCUAUAAGACUGGGAUAACUUCGGGAAACCGGAGCUAAUACCGGAUAAUAUUUUGAACCGCAUGGUUCAAAAGUGAAAGACGGUCUUGCUGUCACUUAUGGAUGGAUCCGCGCUGCAUUAGCUAGUUGGUAAGGUAACGGCUUACCAAGGCAACGAUGCAUAGCCGACCUGAGAGGGUGAUCGGCCACACUGGAACUGAGACACGGUCCAGACUCCUACGGGAGGCAGCAGUAGGGAAUCUUCCGCAAUGGGCGAAAGCCUGACGGAGCAACGCCGCGUGAGUGAUGAAGGUCUUCGGAUCGUAAAACUCUGUUAUUAGGGAAGAACAUAUGUGUAAGUAACUGUGCACAUCUUGACGGUACCUAAUCAGAAAGCCACGGCUAACUACGU
This 496-nucleotide ribosomal RNA is filed under the name uncultured bacterium. Its description in RNAcentral is "partial 16S ribosomal RNA". It matches the Rfam family "Bacterial small subunit ribosomal RNA", at positions 28 to 506 of the family's 1533-position model. The record is from RNAcentral.